This 96-nucleotide unclassified non-coding RNA is filed under the name Vibrio gazogenes DSM 21264 = NBRC 103151. RNAcentral's name for it is "microRNA mir-598". The record is from RNAcentral. Lineage: Bacteria; Pseudomonadati; Pseudomonadota; Gammaproteobacteria; Vibrionales; Vibrionaceae.
UGACCAUGAUGGUCAUGAUGGUCAUGAUGGUCAUGAUGGUCAUGAUGGUCAUGAUGGUCAUGAUGGUCAUGAUGGUCAUGAUGGUCAUGAUGGUCA